This is a long non-coding RNA of Cygnus olor (mute swan), 340 nucleotides long. RefSeq lists it as uncharacterized. The transcript has 2 exons. Lineage: Eukaryota; Metazoa; Chordata; Aves; Anseriformes; Anatidae. The record is from RefSeq and is a predicted model, not a curated record.
AGCUUUGGUAAGGAGUGAGAGGAGCUGGGCAAGGCUGUGUUUCAGUCAGCGAUGUACUUCGUGCAAGACUUCGUAUCAAGAAAGCUGCACGUCAAGAAAUGUCUCCUAGAACAGUAGAAUUGUUGUUACCAGCCUGCCAAAAUGAGUCCUAGUAAGGCAAGAAACUGGAAUGACCAUCGUCUUUUAAAUACAUGCCAGAGCAGACAGUGUUUGGAUUGAGGUUUGAUGGAACAUUAGAAAAAUCCUCCAGAUGGCAGAAUAACUAUUUGAAUGUAUGUACAGUAGAUGGGGAUAUAGUUUUAUCCCUCACUAAUAAACAUUCCUAUUUUGGGAUACAGCU